UACGUAGGAGGCAAGCGUUGUCCGGAGUUACUGGGCGUAAAGGGCCCGCAGGCGGUGGAGUAAGUUUGGCGCGACAGUUCCCAGCUUAACCGGGAAAGGACUUCGAAAACUGCUCGACUUGAGGACUGGAGAGGAAGGCGGAAUUCCGGGUGGAGCGGUGAAAUGCGUAGAGAUCCGGAGGAACACCGACGGCGAAGGCAGCCUUCUGGAAAGUACCUGACGCUGAGGGGCGAAAGCUAGGGGAGCGAACGGG
This 253-nucleotide ribosomal RNA is filed under the name uncultured bacterium. RNAcentral's name for it is "partial 16S ribosomal RNA". It matches the Rfam family "Bacterial small subunit ribosomal RNA", at positions 524 to 776 of the family's 1533-position model. The record is from RNAcentral.